Ornithorhynchus anatinus (platypus) is the source of this 567-nucleotide long non-coding RNA. RefSeq lists it as uncharacterized. The record is from RefSeq and is a predicted model, not a curated record. NCBI's taxonomy places the organism in Eukaryota, Metazoa, Chordata, Mammalia, Monotremata, Ornithorhynchidae. The transcript is spliced from 3 exons.
AGCCCGACAAACACCGGUUGCCAAGGCAACGAGCUCUGCCGGACAAAGCCUGGGGAGGCCGGGGGAGACCAAAGGGGCCUUUAGGAACCCUGCUUAUAGGCAUCAGAGGAAUGCAGAGACAGUGUUAAUCUGACCGAAAGUAGAUCACACCGAAACAAGUUCAAAUGAAAACACUCACCUUUAAAUCUCCCGAGAAAGAUACUCUGACAUUAUUAUCGUGUUUUUAGAAAACUCAGCCAGAGCCAUAUGCUGACCAAUCAAGGAGUGAUUAUAUCCAGACUGCUUUCUCCUGCUAAAAGCCCCCAUAGUACAUUCACCAUCCUUUGGGCCCAUUUUGAGUUGCUUCUAAAGGCAGCAGUGAAUGUGGAAGAUUUUGAAUGGCACUAGUGAAAGUAGGAGAUUUUGGAUGGCCCAUUUAAGAUAAAACAUCUAAUUAGGAUUCUUAUCUGUUUUGUAAAAACUGAACAAUGAAAGAAGUUAUCUCACCAGUAAAGAGUAGUUUUUGGCUUUGAGAGAUGUUUGCUUUUGCUUCUGUUUCCUUAAAUUCUUUUAACUUACACUGCCACU